CAGGCGGACGUAUAAGUCAGUGGUGAAAGCCUACAGCUUAACUGUAGAACUGCCAUUGAUACUGUAUGUCUUGAAUUCGGUCGAAGUGGGCGGGAAUGUGUCAUGUAGCGGUGAAAUGCAUAGAUAUGACACAGAACACCGAUAGCGAAGGCAGCUCACUAGGCCUGAAUUGACGCUCAGGGACGAAAGCGUGGGGAGCGAACAGGAUUAGAUACCCUGGUAG
This 223-nucleotide ribosomal RNA is filed under the name uncultured bacterium. RNAcentral's name for it is "partial 16S ribosomal RNA". It matches the Rfam family "Bacterial small subunit ribosomal RNA", at positions 572 to 793 of the family's 1533-position model. The record is from RNAcentral.